RNAcentral lists this long non-coding RNA (3108 nucleotides) under Gallus gallus (chicken). Its description in RNAcentral is "lncRNA (ENSGALG00010012183.1)". Lineage: Eukaryota; Metazoa; Chordata; Aves; Galliformes; Phasianidae. The record is from RNAcentral.
CUUGUUUGAGACAGACAGGUAUUGGAGUGAGAGACUCAGAGAGAAAUAUUAAGGAGAAAGUCUCUAAAACAUGACCACUGCUCUGGAAAGACAUAUUGGGUUUGUAAAGCCCUUCAGUGCAAACCCUUUUCUCAACUAUCAGUGGAUGCACAACGGACAGUGCCUUUCACAUGCCCAUGAAGCUGCUGAAGGAUGUGGAGACACCUGCAGAAGCCAAAGGGGUCACCACCACUUUGGGAAGCAGGAACAAAGAGAGCAGCAGAAAACAGCAGUCUGGUGCAUUGGAGAGGUGGCUGACUCUGCUCAGACACAGACACACAGCUCUCUGUGAAGUAAUCAUCUUUUGCGGCCUGAUUAGGACUUACUCACUGAUGUAAUGGCUCCACAGAAACCAGCUUCCAACAGGGGUAAUAAAGUCCAAAGGACAGCAGCAGUAGAAGGUACUGGUUACAAAGACAUACAAUUACAUAAAUAAUUCAAAAGGUGUCCUUUCCCAUGCAUCCUGUGCUUUCCAGUGCCUUUUAUGCAUCACAUACAUUUUGCUCCUGCUCCUUUUUUUAAGAGAUCACUAUUAACUGACUCUUCCACACAUCCAUUUCAGCCUGAAUUUUACAAAAAUUCAGCAAUAUUGGAAGGUGUGGCUGCCACAGGCAAGGAACACCUGAACGUGUCUGUUUGUUUACAUGCCUCCAGCCAUGAUAGGUAGUAGCAAGGUCUUAGACUCCACAGAGCUCUAGAGAACCACCUGGUCUUUCACACUAGAUACCGUUGAUGAGAAGCUAAUUUCCUAGAGCACCUUUGCAUCUACUCUCAGUUACCUGUUUGAUAAUGGGUCUACUGGGAUGUCUAAGGGAGUCACCCUGGCUUUCAAACCCUGUUGGUCCCAUCCUUCUGAGAACUAUCUCCAAGUUCAUGGUGCAACCACCAGCAUAAAACCCCAAGCCAUGAGGUUUCCCUGUAGAGGUGACCACGCUUCCAGCUUCCCCUGCCCCUUUCCCUUGUUUUCCAUCACUGCAGAAAACUCACUCCUUGAAAAACAAUUACCCAGGGAAUGUUAGUGAUGUAAACUUGUUUAAACCUGAGCACACAGUUAAGUCAGCUUUAUAAUUAAUUGCCUCAUCAUUUCAGUCAUCCUUCAGGAAUGUUGCACUGCUUGUUUGUCAUAAAGUGAAAAAGGGCCAGAUCCCCAGCAAAGAUCCCCCCCAAAGCAAAUGACACAAAGCACACAGAUCUGCAGCAGACCCAGUUCCACACUUGAGUGAAAACAAAGGAGGAGAAAUAUCAUCAGACCCAGUUCCAGUCCCACCAUGUUCCCAGGGCUGCAGUGUCCCACUGGCUGCUUCCCAGGGAAAGGACCCACAUCCCCAAGGCACGGCCACAGCAAACAAAACCAGGGUGCUGCAUUGUGGUGUGAACACCCUCCACCAGUGAUGCAAAGCCCCCCAGGGCUCCCACUCCUCCCUGCCACAGGAAGGACACACAGUAAUAAACCCACUAGCAGUGCAUGGAAGCUAGUGGGAAGAGAGUGGAACUGAAAAACAUGUUACAGGUGGCUUGUCUGGAGACAAGGAAGAAGGACAGGGAGGGACAGUAGCAGUACCCAACAACACCUACUGCCUCACCUACCUGUGGUGAGAAGUGAUGAGGGUGAAGCCAGCUGAAGCUAUAAAACUCCAAUUAUAAUUAUCUUCCUUCCACUCACAUCUAAAUGCACCACAGGUGUGUGUGCACUCAGAAGGUGGUUUUACCCACACACUCUUACUGAAGCUAGUCUCACCUACACAGAAAAGGGGGAACCAGCUUUUCUAAAAGUGACAAGAAAGCGAAGGGAGAAGAAGAAAAACAGUAAAGUGAAGUGAGAAAACUAAGGAGAGAGCAAGCUAAGCUUACAAGAGGAGUGUGUAGUGUGGUGAGGAGAGUACCAAAGCAAGAAGCAUUUAGUGUCUGGAUCUGUUCACGGUCAGUCUGUCCUUUUUACCUCUUAGAAGACUGAUGGCCAUUAUUAAAGAAGAAAGGGCUGAAUGGGAGAUAGUUAUUUCAAAGAAGAGCUGCUGUUAAUAUUUAUGGCUACCUUAAAAUUGCUAUUUACACACCAAUUAAAUAACUAAGUGGAAGAAAACACGAGGGUCUCAAUUAAAUAUGAGCUGAGUGAUGUGGCCAGCACAAACCUCAGCACACCUCCUAAAACAGCCUUCAUCCCCACAUCUGCCAGUGACCAAUGUGGCCUCCAGGUUACAGGUCUGUGGUGAAGAGAAGAUGCCUUUGGAUGGAUUUCUGGACAGGAUUUCCAUCACUGGGGGAAACAACUGUGUUCUGGCCGCCUCUCUUGCAUAGCUUCCAGCCCAUGAAGAGACGUCACUUCCCAGUCCUGCUCCUAUAGCAGCACACAGCUCUUCCAUGAGGAUCUGGGGGAAUUCUAGCACAAGGAUACAGGAAAGGCAAUCAAUGCCUAUGAUAAGAUGCACUCCAGCUAACUGCUGUAAUUUUUCCUCACUGGGUUGCAGAUGACCUAAUAGGCUCUUUUCUCAUCUCUAAUUUCUAUGAAUCUGCAAUCCUAUUAUUUAUAGUAUAUCUUGAGGGUUUCUUCAAGAGUAAAUGAUGUAAUUAUACCCUUCACCGUAGCACUUCAGGAUCUAGUGUAAUAGAACUAAAUAUGCAAUUAUGUGGUUAGUAAAUGUAACAGUACAAAACUCAAAAUCUAUAUCCACGUACUGUAGCUUCAUAAGAAGAAUUAGUUUCCUGUUAUGUACACAGCAGAUGUAAUGUAAUUAUUGCUAACUGCAAAGUAUCACCAGACAUUCAUAUGACACAAAUGAAAAAUGCCACUCCAGCCAAUUCUUCAUUCAAACAUAUGAAAAUGGGAGGAUUCUCACAAUUCUGUCUUAUCAGUGAAGUGUAGGCACAUACAUUUGAUCCUCUACAUAUCAAGUCAAUCCUUCCCAGGCUUACAUACACACAGAACUCACAAAUAAUAUAUAUGCAAGCACAAAGUGAUGGAUUGGAUUCACCUCUGGUGUUAUUCCAGCAACUUCAGCUGAAUUACAGGAUGGUGGAAGAUAAUCCGUUGUGCAACCUGUGUUGAUUACAGUUGAGAGAAAUAAAACCGGG